This 217-nucleotide long non-coding RNA is filed under the name Elaeis guineensis (African oil palm). RNAcentral's name for it is "long non-coding RNA (EGUI_LNC036386)". The record is from RNAcentral. Lineage: Eukaryota; Viridiplantae; Streptophyta; Magnoliopsida; Arecales; Arecaceae.
GUCAGGAUAGAGUGAAUAGUGGAAAAAUUUUUUUACGUACUUUACAUUAGAAACUCAAGUCAAGUAAAUUUUACAUAUGACAGAUAUUAUAGUUUGAUGAGUUAUCUAUAACGUUCAUUUAGUUGGGACUAUUGAUAGAAGGACUUUAUCAUAUUAUAACUAUACCUAGAGGUUUAUUCUAUUCCAUUCUGCUGGCCUACCAUCAUAUACUGCUAGG